RNAcentral lists this ribosomal RNA (355 nucleotides) under uncultured bacterium. RNAcentral describes it as "partial 16S ribosomal RNA". It matches the Rfam family "Bacterial small subunit ribosomal RNA", at positions 338 to 710 of the family's 1533-position model. The record is from RNAcentral.
CCUACGCGUGGCAGCAGUGGGGAAUAUUGCAACAUGGGGGGAACCCUGAUGCAGCAACGCCGCGUGGGUGAAGAAGUACUUCGGUAUGUAAAGCCCUGUCAGAAGGGAAGAAAAUGACGGUAACUGACCAAGAAGCCCCGGCUAACUACGUGCCAGCAGCCGCGGUAACACGUAGGGGGCAAGCGGUAUCCGGAUUUACUGGGUGUAAAGGGAGCGUAGCAGGCAAGUGAAGUCUGGAUUGAAAGCCCGUAGCUCAACCACGGGACUGCUCUGGAAACUGUGUUGCUGGAGUGCAGGAGGGGUAAGCAGAAUUCCUAGUGUAGCGGUGAAAUGCGUAGAUAUUAGGAGGAACACC